GCUCAGAUUGAACGCUGGCGGCAGGCCUAACACAUGCAAGUCGAGCGGUAGCACAGAGAGCUUGCUCUCGGGUGACGAGCGGCGGACGGGUGAGUAAUGUCUGGGAAACUGCCUGAUGGAGGGGGAUAACUACUGGAAACGGUAGCUAAUACCGCAUAACGUCGCAAGACCAAAGUGGGGGACCUUCGGGCCUCAUGCCAUCAGAUGUGCCCAGAUGGGAUUAGCUAGUAGGUGGGGUAACGGCUCACCUAGGCGACGAUCCCUAGCUGGUCUGAGAGGAUGACCAGCCACACUGGAACUGAGACACGGUCCAGACUCCUACGGGAGGCAGCAGUGGGGAAUAUUGCACAAUGGGCGCAAGCCUGAUGCAGCCAUGCCGCGUGUGUGAAGAAGGCCUUCGGGUUGUAAAGCACUUUCAGCGGGGAGGAAGGCGUUAAGGUUAAUAACCUUGGCGAUUGACGUUACCCGCAGAAGAAGCACCGGCUAACUCCGUGCCAGCAGCCGCGGUAAUACGGAGGGUGCAAGCGUUAAUCGGAAUUACUGGGCGUAAAGCGCACGCAGGCGGUCUGUCAAGUCGGAUGUGAAAUCCCCGGGCUCAACCUGGGAACUGCAUUCGAAACUGGCAGGCUAGAGUCUUGUAGAGGGGGGUAGAAUUCCAGGUGUAGCGGUGAAAUGCGUAGAGAUCUGGAGGAAUACCGGUGGCGAAGGCGGCCCCCUGGACAAAGACUGACGCUCAGGUGCGAAAGCGUGGGGAGCAAACAGGAUUAGAUACCCUGGUAGUCCACGCCGUAAACGAUGUCGAUUUGGAGGUUGUGCCCUUGAGGCGUGGCUUCCGGAGCUAACGCGUUAAAUCGACCGCCUGGGGAGUACGGCCGCAAGGUUAAAACUCAAAUGAAUUGACGGGGGCCCGCACAAGCGGUGGAGCAUGUGGUUUAAUUCGAUGCAACGCGAAGAACCUUACCUGGUCUUGACAUCCACAGAACUUUCCAGAGAUGGAUUGGUGCCUUCGGGAACUGUGAGACAGGUGCUGCAUGGCUGUCGUCAGCUCGUGUUGUGAAAUGUUGGGUUAAGUCCCGCAACGAGCGCAACCCUUAUCCUUUGUUGCCAGCGGUUCGGCCGGGAACUCAAAGGAGACUGCCAGUGAUAAACUGGAGGAAGGUGGGGAUGACGUCAAGUCAUCAUGGCCCUUACGACCAGGGCUACACACGUGCUACAAUGGCAUAUACAAAGAGAAGCGACCUCGCGAGAGCAAGCGGACCUCAUAAAGUAUGUCGUAGUCCGGAUUGGAGUCUGCAACUCGACUCCAUGAAGUCGGAAUCGCUAGUAAUCGUAGAUCAGAAUGCUACGGUGAAUACGUUCCCGGGCCUUGUACACACCGCCCGUCACACCAUGGGAGUGGGUUGCAAAAGAAGUAGGUAGCUUAACCUUCGGGAGGGCGCUUACCACUUUGUGAUUCAUGACUGGGGUGAAGUCGUAACGAGGU
Molecule: ribosomal RNA, 1483 nt
Filed under: uncultured bacterium
Lineage: Bacteria
Description: bacterial SSU rRNA
Rfam family: Bacterial small subunit ribosomal RNA
Source: RNAcentral